RNAcentral lists this ribosomal RNA (484 nucleotides) under Desmodesmus sp. KRS24. RNAcentral's name for it is "SSU rRNA". It matches the Rfam family "Eukaryotic small subunit ribosomal RNA", at positions 590 to 1082 of the family's 1831-position model. The record is from RNAcentral. Lineage: Eukaryota; Viridiplantae; Chlorophyta; Chlorophyceae; Sphaeropleales; Scenedesmaceae.
UCCAAUAGCGUAUAUUUAAGUUGUUGCAGUUAAAAAGCUCGUAGUUGGAUUUCGGGUGGGUUUUAGCGGUCCGCCUAUGGUGAGUACUGCUAUGGCCUUCCUUACUGUCGGGGACCUGCUUCUGGGCUUCAUUGUCCGGGACAGGGAUUCGGCAUGGUUACUUUGAGUAAAUUAGAGUGUUCAAAGCAGGCUUACGCCGUGAAUACUUUAGCAUGGAAUAACAUGAUAGGACUCUGCCCUAUUCUGUUGGCCUGUAGGAGUGGAGUAAUGAUUAAGAGGAACAGUCGGGGGCAUUCGUAUUUCAUUGUCAGAGGUGAAAUUCUUGGAUUUAUGAAAGACGAACUACUGCGAAAGCAUUUGCCAAGGAUGUUUUCAUUAAUCAAGAACGAAAGUUGGGGGCUCGAAGACGAUUAGAUACCGUCGUAGUCUCAACCAUAAACGAUGCCGACUAGGGAUUGGCGGACGUUUUUGCAUGACUCCGUCA